Long non-coding RNA from Perca flavescens (yellow perch), 421 nucleotides. RefSeq lists it as uncharacterized. The record is from RefSeq and is a predicted model, not a curated record. Lineage: Eukaryota; Metazoa; Chordata; Actinopteri; Perciformes; Percidae. The transcript has 3 exons.
UGUCAAUGCUUUUUUAAAUGCUUUUCCCCUUGUCUCCUCAUCUCCUUGUUUCCUCUCCAUGUCUGCUCUCCUCCAGGGGAGGACUCUUGGUGGCGGGGACCUUUAACUCCCGGCGCAGCGGUCCGUGGUCGGAGCGCAUCGUUGAAAUUUGGUGUUGCAACUGUAACUGUAACAAUCGCCAUCGUGGGGAUGUUUCGUACGUACGGGGCAGUCGUGGCGGGCAGCGGCAUGCAGCGGACCCAGAGGGGCGCCUCCACUGACCUGUACUGACCUGUUCAACGCCUGGUGCAAAGGUGUCAACACUCAUCCCAUCCCCCACCCCUUCGACAGCAACAGAUUCUCCUCAUCACCUUCAGGAGGAGUUAAAGACUACAGAGAGACACACAGCACAAGUAUUUUUACUGCAGUUAAAGUACUAAUA